UACGUAGGGUGCAAGCGUUGUCCGGAAUUAUUGGGCGUAAAGAGCUCGUAGGCGGUCUGUCGCGUCGGAUGUGAAAACCCAGGGCUCAACCCUGGGCCUGCAUUCGAUACGGGCAGACUAGAGUUCGGUAGGGGAGACUGGAAUUCCUGGUGUAGCGGUGAAGUGCGCAGAUAUCAGGAGGAACACCGGUGGCGAAGGCGGGUCUCUGGGCCGAAACUGACGCUGAGGAGCGAAAGCGUGGGGAGCAAACAGG
Molecule: ribosomal RNA, 253 nt
Filed under: uncultured bacterium
Lineage: Bacteria
Description: partial 16S ribosomal RNA
Rfam family: Bacterial small subunit ribosomal RNA
Source: RNAcentral